AUGUCUCUGACCUUGUGCACAUGGACUUGGAUAUGUGUGUGUGCGUGCAGGUGUGCGUAUGUCCGAAACACACGUGGACAUCGUUCAAAGACGGACCGACGCAGAGGGUGUGCUGUUGCGUUCGGACACACGAGGAGACACAAACUCUCUCUUCUCACCAUCCUCCCUUUUUUAGGUCUCGUUUAUCGAACAUCUGGCCUCAGAAAGGUCCAUCUUCUAUCUUUCACAUCGAGCAGUUCUUUGUGCACUUGCUUUCACCAUAAACGCUGGGACCAGGAAGAUGGAGGGUUGGCAGAUGGAGGGAUAUGAGAGCUCUGGGACUCUGAGAGAGAGUGAAAGGGAGAGAGAGAAUACACCGCCCAGAAGUAUCAUGCCCAUUCAAACUGAGGGGACAAAUGCAAAGUGGAUUAUAAAUGCAAUGCAAUUCAUGCAGUAUAUAUAACUGAUAAUUUAGUUGCCCAGUUAUUGUAGGUAAAGUGUGUUUAUUUAGUACACUGUGGCAAAAAUAUAAUUGCAGAUUUGCAUUUGCAGAAUUUGUGCUUGGUUUAUUUAAAAAACAAUUAUAUGCUAUAUAGGGAUUUUAACUCUAGUUUCCUUGCUUACUAAGUGAAAAGGGCACCACUAGACAAACAUGUUUAAUACAUGUAUGAUGCAUUUCUCAAUUCCUAAAGACUCCAUUGAUUUAAAGUGAGAGUUUUUGUUUCUAUUUUUAUUUUUCAAAUUCGUCAGAGAAGCUACAAAGAGGCCUACAGCAACUCUGAAGCAGUUGCAGGAAUUUAUGACAAAGAGUGGUUAUUUAUGUGCACAUGUGACGACAAUAUCACAAAUUCUCUAGAAAUGUGGCUUGAAUGGGAAGGUUGCAAGAAAAAGCCACUCCUCAAGAAAGGCCACAUGCACUCAGACUGAGCUUUGCCAAAACACACCUUGAAGAUUCUGAGGCAGACUAAAACUGAAUUAUUUGGCCUCAACACCAAACAAUACGUCUGGCAGAAAUCCAAUACAGUUCCUCAUCCAAAUAAUACCAUUG
Long non-coding RNA from Cyprinus carpio carpio, 1027 nucleotides. NCBI's taxonomy places the organism in Eukaryota, Metazoa, Chordata, Actinopteri, Cypriniformes, Cyprinidae. The record is from Ensembl.